RNAcentral lists this long non-coding RNA (288 nucleotides) under Hordeum vulgare. RNAcentral's name for it is "long non-coding RNA (HVUL_LNC015199)". Lineage: Eukaryota; Viridiplantae; Streptophyta; Magnoliopsida; Poales; Poaceae. The record is from RNAcentral.
UUCUCCUGAGCUUCCGCCGGUAGAGCUCUGCUAUCUUCUGUGCUUCUCCUGUACCCCUGAUGUUGCUGCUCCUGUGCACUCUGAAGGGAAGGUACAGAGUAAAUUCAAUCAAAUUCAAUGUUAAUUUUGGAGAAAAUCAAAAUCAGACAAGAUUGUUGGGACUCCUGGGAUGUUUGUUCACUUUGGUCAGUUUGCUGCUCCUAGACAUCGACUAGAGAGAACAAAAUGGUGACUGGUCAAAUCUUUUUCAGUCAGUUUUCCGAACAAAAUGUAUGAUAACUACAAAAU